Molecule: unclassified non-coding RNA, 155 nt
Filed under: uncultured Clonostachys
Lineage: Eukaryota; Fungi; Ascomycota; Sordariomycetes; Hypocreales; Bionectriaceae
Description: sequence contains ITS1
Source: RNAcentral
CCGAGUUUACAACUCCCAAACCCAUGUGAACAUACCUACUGUUGCUUCGGCGGGAUCGCCCCGGGCGCCCUGCGUGCCCCGGAUCAGGCGCCCGCCUAGGAACCUUAACUCUUGUUUUAUUUUGAAUCUUCUGAGUAGUUUUUACAAAUAAAUAA